RNAcentral lists this long non-coding RNA (229 nucleotides) under Capsicum annuum. RNAcentral describes it as "long non-coding RNA (CANN_LNC016427)". The record is from RNAcentral. Lineage: Eukaryota; Viridiplantae; Streptophyta; Magnoliopsida; Solanales; Solanaceae.
UGGGGCGAACGUUAUGAAAAUUAGAAAGGUUUUGUGGAAUUUGAGAGUGGUUUGGUGGAAUCUGAGAAGGAUUUUGCAGAUUUGGAAAUGAAUUUGGUGUAUUCGGGGGAUAUAUUUGAUGGAUUUUACGGGUUUGGGAGUGAAUCUUGUGGAUUUGGGAAUGAAUUUUCUUGAUUUGAAAAUGUGUUCUGGGGAUUUGGGAAUGGAUUCAGAGAUAGGUUUUGUGGGG